GCCCCUGUGGCUCAGUGGUAGAGCGCCUGACUACGAAUCAGGAGGCCCAGGUUUCGAACACCUGCUGGGGUU
RNAcentral lists this transfer RNA (72 nucleotides) under Kwoniella heveanensis CBS 569. Its description in RNAcentral is "tRNA-Arg (ACG) (tRNA-Arg-ACG-1-1)". It matches the Rfam family "tRNA". Rfam says of the family: Transfer RNA (tRNA) molecules are approximately 80 nucleotides in length. Lineage: Eukaryota; Fungi; Basidiomycota; Tremellomycetes; Tremellales; Cryptococcaceae. The record is from RNAcentral. RNAcentral also lists the same sequence under 1 other name.